This 1020-nucleotide ribosomal RNA is filed under the name Triticum aestivum (bread wheat). RNAcentral describes it as "partial small subunit ribosomal RNA". Lineage: Eukaryota; Viridiplantae; Streptophyta; Magnoliopsida; Poales; Poaceae. The record is from RNAcentral.
AUGCUGAGGCAAGGAAUGUACAGAGGCCACUACAUUCUUGAUGCCCUGAGAUUCCAAGCCGCCCUUGAAGAUGAGGAGGAGGUGAGCCACUCACUGACUGCUGUUUUGCUGUCUGAAUCCAGUUGUCUGGCCAAACGGCUUCGUUUCUCCGGUGGUGCCCGUGGGGGUGGUAGCGGCAGCAACAGAGAUGCAGCAGCACUGUUAAUGUCUGGUGCAAACAACAAGAUACGAGAAGAGCUGCAACGGGUGGUUUCUUCUCUUGAAGACACCAUGGAUGCAGGUAUGAAGGAGUUCCUUCUCUUCUUGGAGUCGUAUCCUCGGGUACUCCGCCAACCACACGCCGCAUAUGUGCUCUUGGAGAACUGCAUGUUUGGUCGCCAAACUGAACGGGAACAGGUCCUGGAUUUCUUGCUCCGUCCCGGCGCUACUCCAAUGUUGGCCAUACUUCCGAUCGUCGGUCCUUUAGGGGCAGGAAAAAGCACUCUUGUGGAGCAUGUCUGUAGGGAUGACAGUGUGCGUGGUCGCUUCUCGACGAUCCUCUUCCUUCCAGAAGGCAGCCUUGAGGAUGAAGGAGUGACCGACUUGAGAGGGGGCAGCAACUUCAAAGUCAGACAUCAGAAUCACGCCACUCAGUCUCACAACAGGUUUCUGAUCAUUGUCGAAACCGCCAAGGACAUGAACGAGGGAGCAUGGAGAAGUCUGAAAUCGUGCGUCGCCCACAUGGCACCUUGCGGUGGGAGUAAAAUCAUAGUCACCGGUCGGUCAAACAGAAUAGUGGAUCUUGGAACGACGGAAGCGCUUUCACUGGGCCGUGUCCCUCGAGAAGCCUAUUGGUAUCUCUUCAAGUCGCUCGCUUUCGGAAGCGCGAACCCUGAUGAGCACCGAAGCAUGGCAGCGAUGGCCAUGGAGAUCGCUUCGGAGCAUAGACAGUGUUUGCUGAGCGCGCAUAUGGUUGCCGGGUUACUGCGAGAUAACUUCAGCCCCAGAUUCUGGCGUGCGAUCCUUGGGUUGGGUGCGUGA